This 466-nucleotide ribosomal RNA is filed under the name uncultured bacterium. Its description in RNAcentral is "partial 16S ribosomal RNA". It matches the Rfam family "Bacterial small subunit ribosomal RNA", at positions 29 to 506 of the family's 1533-position model. The record is from RNAcentral.
ACGAACGCUGGCGGCGUGCUUAACACAUGCAAGUCGAACGGAAAGGCCCUGCUUUUGUGGGGUGCUCGAGUGGCGAACGGGUGAGUAACACGUGAGUAACCUGCCCUUGACUUUGGGAUAACUUCAGGAAACUGGGGCUAAUACCGGAUAGGAGCUCCUGCUGCAUGGUGGGGGUUGGAAAGUUUCGGCGGUUGGAGAUGGACUCGCGGCUUAUCAGCUUGUUGGUGGGGUAGUGGCUUACCAAGGCUUUGACGGGUAGCCGGCCUGAGAGGGUGACCGGCCACAUUGGGACUGAGAUACGGCCCAGACUCCUACGGGAGGCAGCAGUGGGGAAUAUUGCACAAUGGGCGGAAGCCUGAUGCAGCAACGCCGCGUGCGGGAUGACGGCCUUCGGGUUGUAAACCGCUUUCGCCUGUGACGAAGCGUGAGUGACGGUAAUGGGUAAAGAAGCACCGGCUAACUACGU